ACGCACGCUGGCGGCAUGCCUAACACAUGCAAGUCGAACGAGACCUUCGGGUCUAGUGGCGCACGGGUGCGUAACGCGUGGGAACCUGCCUUUAGGUUCGGAAUAACUCAGAGAAAUUUGAGCUAAUACCGGAUGAUGUCUUCGGACCAAAGAUUUAUCGCCUUUAGAUGGGCCCGCGUUGGAUUAGCUAGUUGGUGGGGUAAAGGCCUACCAAGGCGACGAUCCAUAGCUGGUCUGAGAGGAUGAUCAGCCACACUGGGACUGAGACACGGCCCAGACUCCUACGGGAGGCAGCAGUGGGGAAUAUUGGACAAUGGGCGAAAGCCUGAUCCAGCAAUGCCGCGUGAGUGAUGAAGGCCUUAGGGUUGUAAAGCUCUUUUACCCGAGAUGAUAAUGACAGUAUCGGGAGAAUAAGCUCCGGCUAACUCCGUG
Molecule: ribosomal RNA, 432 nt
Filed under: uncultured bacterium
Lineage: Bacteria
Description: partial 16S ribosomal RNA
Rfam family: Bacterial small subunit ribosomal RNA
Source: RNAcentral